AUGACGGGGCUAGGCUCCAGGCGGCGUACACUUCAUGGGAAGGCAAGGAACCAGGAGGUGAUGGGGUCAGAUCUGGCAGUGGUAGAUCAGAGCUUAAGCCCGAGGCCGCGACGGGGAAGGUCGAAAAAUAGAGAGACCGGAUGGAGGUGCUGGAGGCGAAGGACCGCCCGUCGGCAAGCUCGAGCUAGAGACGUUAGCGUCACCGGCCAUCAGAUGCAUAGGAGCAUGAGGCAGCGCUCCCGUCGCUUUGUGGUGGAGCUGCAUAGGAGGGGGAGGAGGCUGGCGAUAGGGAACCGGGCCGGGAGGAGGCAAGUAUGA
RNAcentral lists this ribosomal RNA (318 nucleotides) under Triticum aestivum (bread wheat). Its description in RNAcentral is "partial small subunit ribosomal RNA". The record is from RNAcentral. Lineage: Eukaryota; Viridiplantae; Streptophyta; Magnoliopsida; Poales; Poaceae.